AUGUUAACGACUACUAAAUGCAUGUCCUGGUGCCACCAUAAAAAAUGAUAAAUGCUUUUAUCCAAAGCAACUUGCAAUAACCUUUGACUUAAUCACAGUUCAUUUACUCGAGCGGAGCUUCACCAUGACACCCACAUCAGGUCGUGUGAUUCACAUGCAGGUUCGAUGGUUGAGAAAUUGUACAAUAACAAACAUAACUGUUCAAAAGCACAGAGUUCAUUUGUUCAUGGGAACAGGUUUGUAGAAAUGUAGCACUGCAUCAGUGUCUCAGCAAUGGAUGCUCUUUCACUGGAGGAAGUGUUAUUAUGGAUUAUGUAUUUGAGUUAAAAACGUCUUAAUGCUGGAUGUGUUUCAUCUUUUGUCUUCUCCAGAUGUUAACUGAUGGACUGGAGUGCUGUGGAUUACUUGUGGAUUAUUGUGAUGUUUUUAUCAGCUGUUUGGACUCUCAUUCUGACGGCACCCAUUCACUGCAGAGCAUCCAUUGCUGAGACACUGAUGCAGUGCUACAUUUCUUCAAACCUGAUGAAGAAACAAACUCAACCUGAUCUUGAAUGGCCUGAGGGUACAUUUUCAACACAUUUUAAUUGGGGCUCGUCACCAUGGCAACCACAAGCAAUGGCGAGGCUAAUAAAGGAAGCGUCUCUCUCUCUCUCUCUCUCUCUCUCUCUCUCUCUCUCUCUCCGUCUGUCUGUCUGUCUCUCGCUCGCUCUCAGCCUUGACUUCUUCUCUGUUCCUUUCACAUCAAACCAGCAGCAGCUCAUGAAGGAUUUUGGGAUGCAUGUUGUCUUUAAUCUUGAAACGAGGGAAUUCUGGGACCUCAGAGGGAAUCUGGCCAUGACACACGGAUGGUUUGCGGAUGUUUCGUGGAUCUGAGCUCGCUGUGGAUUAUCAGUUCUAGUGUGUGUGUGUGUGUGUGUGUGUGUGUGUGUGUGUGUGUGUGUGUGUGUGUGUGUGUGUGUGUGUGNUGUGAAUGAUGACACACGUCACAGACGAGGAGACACGCUUCUGUCCGUCAUGUGCUCGUGGUUUUGACGUUCCUCUCAUUCUGCCCUGCUCUCACACUCUCUGCGGCCGCUGUCUGACCGGAGGGGCGGGGCCUGAUCUGUGCAGGGGCGGGGUCAGGGGCGGGGUCUCCUCCUCUCAUCCGGUCGUUCUCUGUCCAAACUGUCGUCAUGGCGUUGAGCUGCCCUGCUUUGACUGGUCAUCUGCUCUGACCUGUCUGCCCUUUGACCCUACAGUGACCUUUGACCCUGUAAAGAGAGGGACGCAUGAGGAACAGAGAUGGGAGACGGAUGGCAGUGUGGAUCUUUCUGAAGAGGAAAUGGAACAAUCCGUUUCAGGUCUUAUCUUCACCCUCGAUUCGUCCUGCUCUGAUUCGUCGCUUUACCUCUCAAGCUCCGCCCUCUCCGUCACCUUCACAGGUCACAUGAUCUCAUCACAUGACCGCAGGGAUCAGGACUGUCCACUUCCUCAGGUGUGUGGCAGCGUGAGCGUCUCCAGAGGACAGUAUUACUGGGAGGUGGACGUCUGCAACAGCGCCAUCUACAGGAUCGGAGUGAUAUCAUCAUGUGAUGGGCGUGGCUGGUGGUUGGAGAGGCGUGGCUCUGCGUUUCACACUUUGUUUGACGGACAGCAUGAGCUCCUCCCCUCUGUUCCUCCUCAGCUGAAGACAGUGGGCGUGUUUCUAAAUGUGGGCGGAGCUUCGAUAACCUUCCACAAUCCGGUAACUCAAGAGUUUCUUGCUGCAAUCCCCGCCCACUUUAGUACCCCCCUCCAUCCUGCUCUUCAGUUGGGCCAGGGAAGACUCAAACUCCGCCCCGGCCUGCCGCCACCCAAUCACGUCUUCCUCAGCCACAGCUCUGCCUAUCGGGGUCCAGGAGGGGCGGGAAGCGGGCGCUGGAGGCGGGAUGUCACGUUUGGGUCGGUGAGUGCCGUGAUUCAGAAGUUUGAGGAGAUUUCAGCCGCGAUUUCGGACGGGGAUUCGGGUCUCGUCUCCAGCAUCAGCUUACUGUCUGAGACCAAUAACAGUACAGAAUGGCUCCGUUCCAAAACCUAGUGUGCUUUCUACACAGGCAGCUCCCUUGUUAGACAGUAACAUCAUGCUGCCCUCUGAGAUCUACGGAGUCCCUAAAGGAAAAAAAAAAUAUUUUUCAAAUGUUUUGCAUUCUCUCGCAAAGAUAUUCAUUCUCUCGCAAAACUUUGCGUUCUCUCGCAUAGAUAUUCAUCCUCUCGCAAAACUUUUGCGCUCUCUCGCAAAGAUAUUCAUUCUCUCGCAAAACUUUGCAAUCUCUCGCAAAGAUAUUCAUCCUCUCGCAAAACUUUUGCAUUCUCUUGCAAAGAUAUUCAUCCUCUCGCAAAACUUUUGCAUUCUCUUGCAAAGAUAAUCAUUCUCUCACAAAACUUUUGCGUUCUCUCUCAAAGAUAAUCAUUCUCUCGUAAAACUUUUACAUUCUCUCGUAAAACUUUUGCAUUCACUUGCAAAGAUAUUCAUUCUCUUGCAAAACUUUUGCGUUCUCUUGCAAAGAUAAUCAUUCUCUCGUAAAACUUUUACAUUCUCUCGUAAAACUUUUGCAUUCACUUGCAAAGAUAUUCAUUCUCUUGCAAAACUUUUGCGUUCUCUUGCAAAGAUAAUCAUUCUCUCGUAAAACUUUUACAUUCUCUCGUAAAACUUUUGCAUUCACUUGCAAAGAUAUUCAUUCUCUUGCAAAACUUUUGCGUUCUCUUGCAAAGAUAAUCAUUCUCUCACAAAACUUUUGCGUUCUCUCGCAAAACCAGCUGAGUUCGGACAAACACUUCCUGUUUACUUUACAGCUUGUAGUGGUUUAUACAGCUCCAUAAGUUCACAAUGGAGCGGUUCAUAGAGUUUUGUUUUGAACUUGGAGAAAUAGUCAGUGCAUGCUUAUUACGGCACGGUUUUGGGACAUACUAAAACGCUUAAUGUAAAACACUGUGUGAGAGCCGUGGGAACGGAGCGAGGCCGGUGGAGCACCACAAAAAUAUUCAUUCUCUCACAAAACUUUUGAGUUCUCUGCAAAGAUAUUCAUUCUCUCGCAAAACUUUUGAGACCUCACACAAAAAUAUUCAUUCUCUCACAAAACUUUUGAGUUCUCUGCAAAGAUAUUCAUUCUCUCGCAAAACUUUUGAGUCCUCACACAAAAAUAUUCAUUCUCUCACAAAACUUUUGAGUUCUCUGCAAAGAUAUUCAUUCUCUCACAAAACUUUUGAGACCUCACACAAAAAUAUUCAUUCUCUCACAAAUUUUUUGAGUUCUCUGCAAAGAUAUUCAUUCUUUUGCAAAACUUUUGAGUCCUCACACAAAAAUAUUCAUUCUCUCACAAAACUUUUGAGUUCUCUGCAAAGAUAUUCAUUCUCUCACAAAACUUUUGAGACCUCACACAAAAAUAUUCAUUCUCUCACAAAUUUUUUGAGUUCUCUGCAAAGAUAUUCAUUCUUUUGCAAAACUUUUGAGUCCUCACACAAAAAUAUUCAUUCUCUUGCAAAACUUUUGAGUUCUCUGCAAAGAUAUUCAUUCUCUCACAAAACUUUUGAGUUCUCUCGUAAAACUUUUGAGCUCUCUUAAAAAGAUAUUAAUUUUCUCGCAAAACCAGUUGAGUUCGGACAAAAACUUCCUGUUUAUUAAUGCGGCUUAAUGAAGAUGAUAAAAAGGAACAAAUAUGCUAUAUUAUGUAUUAAAAAUAUGUACUGUGUACAUGAAAGCAAAUGAGCCCAAAAUAUGAGCUGAAUUGCAUGAUAAGCAUUUUCUCAUGCCCCACCCCCCCCCCAAAAAAGUGUGCCUAACUUAAUAUAUAUACUAAAAAAAAAACAGUUAUAAAAAUUCCAAAUAAUUAUAUUUAUUAAAAUAUACUCUGCACAAAAAAAGCAAUGUGCUAAGAUUUUUCUUUAAUAAUGUUUUAUCUACAGGGGAGAAAACAUGUGUAACUGUACAUUCCAUUCUUGGCUCAUCUGCUUGUCUGUGCGUAAUAUAAACUGUAAACUGUAUUUUAAAAUCACCAUUUUCGUUCAUUAGCCAACCUUAAGUGUUUUCUAUGAGGGAGAAAGUGCUUAAUGUGCAGAAGUUGUGUUCAUAUUCUGGGCUAUUCUGCUUAAUUAAUAGUAAUAUUAUUAAUACAGUUAUUAAUAUUAGGCUAAUAAUGUUAUCAGUAUUUAUUAUUAUCAAAUUUGGUCCUCCAAUGUCACUCUUUUAAAACUUUAAGCCAUAUUAAGCGCUUUAGAAUGUCCCAAAACUGUGCCUUGAGAUCUGUUUUUUUUUUUAUUUUAUUUUUUACAAAAUAUAAAGCAUCAUCACAUGAAUGCUUCUUGAAAAACUUUGCAAAAAGCAAACAGCGCCACCUGUAGGGCAGAAAAUUUAGCUCAUUAGCUCAAGCUCAUUUAUUGUCUUCUUGUGAUUAAUUUAUUUUGUAUUUUAUGUAUUUAUAUUCAGUGGGACUAUAUUUUCUGUAUUAUAUUCAGUUGUUGCAAGAGAUUGUGUUUCCAAAAAGACGCUUGUCAUCCUUUUGAAUAAUGACUAAGAAUUGAACACACACCUGAUUGAAAUACUGUACAAUAACCAAAGAUGCCACUCAACUCAUUUACAGGAAAUACAUAAAAUAAUUUGGACAUAUUAAUCACUGUCAUACUGCCCAUUAAAAAAUUAUUUAUUUAUUUAUUUAUUUUCAAAAAAGUUUUAGAAAUAUUCCUGAAAUGCUGUAAAUAACAUGUAAAUAAUAAAACCUAUUUAUUAUUACA
Molecule: long non-coding RNA, 4746 nt
Organism: Cyprinus carpio (common carp)
Lineage: Eukaryota; Metazoa; Chordata; Actinopteri; Cypriniformes; Cyprinidae
Source: Ensembl